RNAcentral lists this non-coding RNA (104 nucleotides) under Bacillus methanolicus. RNAcentral describes it as "SAM-I sequence". It matches the Rfam family "SAM riboswitch aptamer (S box leader)". Rfam says of the family: The SAM riboswitch is found upstream of a number of genes which code for proteins involved in methionine or cysteine biosynthesis in Gram-positive bacteria. The record is from RNAcentral. RNAcentral also lists the same sequence under 1 other name. Lineage: Bacteria; Bacillati; Bacillota; Bacilli; Caryophanales; Bacillaceae.
UUCUUAUCCAGAGAGGUGGAGGGACUGGCCCAAUGAAGCCUCGGCAACAGGCUUUCCAAAGCACUGUGCCAAUUCCAGCAAGCGCUAAGCUUGAAAGAUGAGAA